AUUGAAGGAAAAAGGAAAGUGGAAAGUGGACACAUAAUUUAGACUCUUCGCUGAGACCCUUCUUCAGUCUAAGUCUCUGUCUCUUCUGAGUCUCUUGUACUCAUUACAUCACUGGGCAAGAUCUUAUCUAGUCCACGGAUUGAUGGAUUGGGCUACCGACGAACGAGAUCGGCAUGGAAUUCUGGCCUGGAAGAUCCAUUUUGGCUUCCGGCCACCGUUUUGAGGAAGAGAAAUAAUACAGAUCCGGCCGGUAUACCCGUCCGGUUAAACAACAGUUCGUGAGGUUCGAAGGGCAAAACUGUUUUUCCGGUUUUUGAAACCAUGUUGGUCAAUUGUCAUCACUUACAACAUUCUGGCUCACAAGAUAUACACACAAGCUCUUCCCUGGACUCUGGUGACCGGUUAGCUAGCGAGUUUCCAGUACGGCUUCCACCGGUUCUGCAGGCUGAGCUUCUUCAUCAUCAUCAUUCACCUCGAUUCAAAUAUGAUGUUUUUUUUAAGUUUUCACGGCAAUGACACCCGUGACAAUUUUACAAAUCAUUUAUUUUCUGAGUUGAUAGGCAAUGUCAUUAAGGCCUAUAGGGAUGAAGAAGGAAUUGAGCAAGGAACAUUCGUCGCCCCAGAGCUCAUGAAAGCAAUAAAAGAAUCCAAGUUCGCAAUUGUCGUUCUUUCAUAAAACUAUGCUUUACUCAGGAUGGUGCUUGAAUGAACUUGCCUAGAUUGUUGCAUGCAUAGAAGAGACGGGUCUAAAAGUUAUCUUUUAUCAUGUGGAUCCCUCUAAUGUAAGGCAGCAAAAUGGAACUUUUGCUUUAGCCUUUGCUAAACAUGAAGAGGACUCCAGAGUUAAGACUUAAGAGUGAGAAGAUACAAACGUGGAAAGAUGCUUUGAAAUGCGUGAUACACAUUGCCGGGUUUGUUGUAGAAGAUAGCACAUCUGAAUCAGCAGUUGUCCAGCAUAUCAGUGGAGACAUAAAGCGUGAAUUGUAUGCAUCAUUUGUUGGAGGGGCCUUUCUGGAAGCAAAGCUUGGAGAAGUAUUUGGGGUGUUGCAUGACACAGUUAAGAAUGCGGGAAGCAAAGUCCUCACGUUCAAAUCCUUUUUUAAAAACUUCGAAUCCAAUCUAGAUCUUUUAGCACCUGUGGUCGAAGAGGUAAAAGAAAAACUUGAUUGCCCAGAACAGGAAACACGGAGCUUGAUCAAAAAAAUGAAGGAUGUCAAGCAGCUCAUUGACAUGUGCUCAGAUAUCGGAGAUAUGAACAAAUUUUACCGCAUUUACACCAACAAACUAAUGAAUUUGGAUGAGGCCAUUUGUGAGGUUCUGUAAGGUUCAUAUGAAUGCACAGAACAGGGGAUAUUUUGCGGAUUUUGGAUUAGUGGAAACCUACUCAGGAGGAAAUGAAGUUGCCCAUCCUGAAGAUUGGUAGGUUGUCGUGCUCAGUUCCUAGACCCCCGGAUUUUACUGUUGGGCUGGAUGUGCCUCUGAAAGUGUUGAAAACUAAGCUGUUGAAGGAGAAGCAGCAGCAACUUCUACUGACUGCUCCUGGCGGAUGCGGGAAGACUGCAUUUUUGAAAUGCUAGGUCAUGACAAGGAAAUUAUUGGCAAAUUGAAGGACAAUUUUUUUGGCCCCGUUUCUAAAAUUCUCAACCUGAUGGUCAUUGUGCAAAGACUAUUUCAUCAUAUAUGUGGUCAGGAGCCUGAGUUCCUAAGUGAUGAAGAUGCAAUCUACCAGCUGCAGGAACUGUUGACAAAAAUUGGAUCCACUCCUAUAUUAUUGAUCUUGGAUGAUGUUUGGUCUGGAUCAGAAUUCCGUCUUGAAAAGUUUAAGUUUGAUAUGCCAAAAUACAAUAUUCUGGUGACCUCAAGAACUAUAUUUCCAGAAUUUAGCUUUACAUAUAACUUAAAAUCGUGAAAUGAUGAAGAUGCAAUGACUCUGCUUCGUCACUCAGCAUCUCUACAAGAAUUCCAGUCUAAAUUAUUGAAAAGAUAGUGAGAAGCUGUGGGAGGUUCCCACUGGCCCUCAAAGUGAGUGGCAAAUCACUCAAAGAGAAGCCUGUGGAGGUUUGGCGCAGUAGAGCUAGGAAAUGGUCUAAUGGUCAUUCUAUUCUCAAGUCUAGUCCUGAUCUGCUUCAAUGUCUUCAUAAAAGCCUAGAAUUUUCGGAUGAUGAGGACAUUUUGACAGAGUGUUUUAUGGAUCUAGCUUCAUUUCCUGAAGGCCAUGGGUUACUUUUCCUACCCUAGUUGAUAUGUGGGCUGAAUUAUAUGAACUAGAUGAACAUGGCAAUGGUGCCAUUGACAAUUUACAUGAACUCACCUCCCGGAAUCUGGCUACUCUAGUGAGGACAAGGAAAGAAUCAAAAUAUACAAGUGAGAACAACAAUUAUUAUACUUGUUAAUAUGAAGACUUUGUCACACAACAUGAUCCUCUUAGAGAACUAGCUAUUUAUGAGGGCAGCUGGGGGGCCAAUCGGACAAAGGAAACGAUUGUUUAUGGACAUAAAUAAAAACACUCUACUGAAGUGGUGUACGAAACAGGAUCAGCACCUCAUCAAUGGCCGCCUAAUAUCUAUCUCAACUGAUGAAUUAUUCUUGUCAAGUUGGUGCAACAUUCAAGCACCCAAAGUUGAGGUUCUAAUUCUGAACUUUCAGACACACAAUUACAGCUUACCUGAUUUCAUGUUUAAAAUGGAUAAACUCCAGGUGUUGAUGAUAACUAAUUAUGGUUACUUUCCUGCUGAAUUAAGAAAUUUUCAACUACUCAAGUCUCUACCCAAUUUAAAAACAAUCAGAUUGGAGAAGGUUUCUAUCCCUUCCCUUUGCAAGGCCCCUGUAUUGUUAAAAAGUUUGAAGAAAAUUUCCUUAUUUAUGUGUAAUAUUGGUCAAGCUUUUUAGAAUUUUACUAUCCAAGUUUCAGAUGCAUUGCCAAAUUUAAUUUAUAUUUAUACAUUACUAAAAGCUGAAGUCAGCAUU
This is a long non-coding RNA of Quercus robur (English oak), 2967 nucleotides long. RefSeq lists it as uncharacterized. NCBI's taxonomy places the organism in Eukaryota, Viridiplantae, Streptophyta, Magnoliopsida, Fagales, Fagaceae. The transcript has 8 exons. The record is from RefSeq and is a predicted model, not a curated record.